AGAGUUUGAUCCUGGCUCAGAACGAACACUGGCGGCGUGGUUUAGGCAUGCAAGUCGAACGUGAAAGCUUCCUUCGGGAAGUUAGUAAAGUGGCGAACGGGUGAGUAACGCGUGGGAAAUCUUCCCUUCGAUGGGGGAUAACAGUUCUAACGAGCUGCUAAUACCGCAUACGACCUCUGGACCGCAUGGUCUGGAGGUGAAAGGGGGCGCCUCUUCGGAGAGCUCCCGUCGAUGGAUGAUCCCGCGUCCCAUUAGCUAGUUGGCGGGGUAAUGGCCCACCAAGGCGACGAUGGGUAGCCGGCCUGAGAGGGUGUCCGGCCACACUGGGACUGAGAUACGGCCCAGACUCCUACGGGAGGCAGCAGUCGAGAAGCUUCGGCAAUGGGCGAAAGCCUGACCGAGCGACGCCGCGUGAGCGAAGAAGGCCCUAUGGGUUGUAAAGCUCUGUCAGAUUGGGAAGAAAACCUCGCGGUUAAUACCCGUGAGGCUUGACGGUACCAUCAGAGGAAGCACCGGCUAACCCCGUGCCAGCAGCCGCGGUAAUACGGGGGGUGCAAGCGUUGUUCGGAUUCACUGGGUAUAAAGGGUGCGCAGGCGGACUGGUAAGUCAGAGGUGAAAUUUGUCGGCUCAACCGACAAACUGCCCCUGAAACUGCCAGUCUUGAGUCCGGGAGAGGUAGGUGGAAUUCCAGGUGUAGCGGUGAAAUGCGUAAAUAUCUGGAGGAACACCGGUGGCGAAGGCGGCCUACUGGCCCGGAACUGACGCUCAGGCACGAAAGCUAGGGGAGCGAACGGGAUUAGAUACCCCGGUAGUCCUAGCCGUAAACGAUGGGUACUAGGUGUUGGAGGAUUCUACCCCUUCAGUGCCGCAGCUAAUGCAUUAAGUACCCCACCUGGGGAGUACGAUCGCAAGGUUGAAACUCAAAGGAAUUGACGGGGGCCCGCACAAGCGGUGGAGCAUGUGGUUUAAUUCGAU
Molecule: ribosomal RNA, 976 nt
Filed under: microbial mat metagenome
Description: bacterial SSU rRNA
Rfam family: Bacterial small subunit ribosomal RNA
Source: RNAcentral